Molecule: ribosomal RNA, 448 nt
Filed under: uncultured bacterium
Lineage: Bacteria
Description: bacterial SSU rRNA
Rfam family: Bacterial small subunit ribosomal RNA
Source: RNAcentral
UCCCAGACUCCUACGGGAGGCAGCAGUGGGGAAUAUUGCACAAUGGGGGGAACCCUGAUGCAGCGACGCCGCGUGGGUGAAGGAGCCCCUCGGUGCGUAAAGCCCUAUCGGCAGGGAAGAAACAGACGGUACCUGACUAAGAAGCCCCGGCUAACUACGUGCCAGCAGCCGCGGUAAUACGUAGGUGGCAAGCGUUGUCCGGAAUUACUGGGUGUAAAGGGAGCGCAGGCGGGAAGCCAAGUCAGCUGUGAAAACUACGGGCGUAACUUGUAGACUGCAGUUGAAACUGGUUUUCUUGAGUGAAGUAGAGGUUGGCGGAAUUCCGAGUGUAGCGGUGAAAUGCGUAGAUAUUCGGAGGAACACCGGUGGCGAAGGCGGCCAACUGGGCUUUAACUGACGCUGAGGCUCGAAAGUGUGGGGAGCAAACAGGAUUAGAUACCCGAGUAAC